GUCAGCAGUGGAAUCAAUUGGCAUAUGGGAAAUUGACAUGCCAAGAUUGAAUUUAAAAUUUCAAUUAAAAUGAGUGCACCGGUUUACACAUUCAUCAUCUCAGGGACGUUCAACAUAAGACCACCGUGCCGGAAAUCGCUUCCGCCGGCGGUGGCCACCAAAAUGCAAAUUGAACCCCUAAUCGGAUUCGUCUCCCUUUCCUCAUCAUGAAUAUUGUAACCAUUUCUCUAGAUUCCGAGUCUAAAUCAAAAACCACAACCAAAUCUCCAAGAACCCUAACAUUCAAUUCAUCAGUUAAACCCUAUCCACGAGGAUUCAAAGCCCUAGGGGUUGGGGAUUUCAACCUCAUCUCCUAGUUCUACAUCACCGUAACAAGAUCUAAAGAAGUCAGUGAAAGAACAGGAGAACUCACCGGUGGAGUAAACGCAAAAGUCACCGGAAUUCUAGAUGAAAUGCUUUUGGCCAUGGCUUGCUGGAGGACCUUGUUGCUUGGAUGUGUUGCAGGUACAUGGAAAAACAAACUUUAUGUCAAGGCUUAUGUGCAAGUAGGUGGUGAUUGCAUCAUGAUGGACCAAGGUUUGCAGCAAGAGGUCAUGUUUGUGUGCAAUUCAGGCAUGAUGUUGUGCAAUGUUAGCAUGAUUGGGCUCAUGUCUGAACUUGGCCUACAACAACUAUGCAUUGUGGUUCUGGUGUGCACCAAUGACUUGGUUGCAGUAGGUUACGUCAUAGUUUCAUUGCAGUAGCUGAUGUGGUUCUAUUGGUGGUUUGUAGGUUUAAUCAUGUUGUGCAUUGUUGAUACUUCCUUGUUUAGGUUCUGCAAGGUUUGCUAAGUUGCUAUGGAAAUAUGCUAGGCCUAAUGCAUUAUAUGGAUGCUACUGCUAUGGUGCAGUACUUGUGAAAUGCUUGAUAUUUUACAUGAAUUCUACAGGCCAUUGUAAUGUAUAUGGUUUUGCACUUGGUAUUGGUUGGACAUGGCAUAAGAUAUAAUGGCAUCAAGUUUGAAUUUUGGAGCAACAUGUUCAAAAGGAAAGCCAAAAAGUUAAAAGGGAAUUGGAGAUUAGGAUUAGGAUUAAGAUGGGAUUUUAGGGUUUUAAGACCCUUUUGGGGGGAUUGGGUUGACUUUUGUCAAAGUUGAUCAAAAAGUCAAUUGUUGACCAAAGUCAAUACUUGGUCAAAGUCACCCCAUUUUGUAGUUUUUUCAUGUAAUGGACAUUUUAUGACUUGUAAUGAAUGACAUUUGUUCAUAUUUGAAUGGAAUGGAUUGGAUUUGAAUGAA
Molecule: long non-coding RNA, 1276 nt
Organism: Lathyrus oleraceus (garden pea)
Lineage: Eukaryota; Viridiplantae; Streptophyta; Magnoliopsida; Fabales; Fabaceae
Exons: 4
Source: RefSeq, a predicted model, not a curated record